This 547-nucleotide ribosomal RNA is filed under the name Xenuroturris gemmuloides. RNAcentral's name for it is "partial 12S ribosomal RNA". The record is from RNAcentral. Lineage: Eukaryota; Metazoa; Mollusca; Gastropoda; Neogastropoda; Turridae.
CACCAAGAAGUUAAGUUAUACUUAGGUGGUAAAAAGACAGUUAGACUUAAAAUACUUAAAGUUUUUUAACCUUUUAUAAAAAAGUAAAAUUUAUAUAUAAAUAUGUAAUUUAAUAACAACUACAAAGUUGAAUCUGUGAAAGCCUGGAGGGAAACUGGGAUUAGAUACCCCAUUAUUCCUGGUUAUAAAUCAAAAUUAAAUUUACCAGAGUACUAUGAAUACUAUAAAAUUUAAAACUCAAAGGACUUGGCGGUGUUUUAGACCAUUUAGGGGAACCUGUCCCAUAAUCGAUAAUCCACGUUAUACCUAACCUUUUUUUGCUUUCAGCUUGUAUAUCGUUGUCGUCAGGUAACUUUUUAGAAAUUAGAAGUUAGCUAAAAAUUGUAAAUUUAAACGUCAAAUCAAGGUGCAGCUAAUAAAAAGGUGAGGAUGGGUUACAAUUAUUUUAAUUAUAAUUACGGAAAAUCAUAAGAAUUAAUGAUAAUAAAGGAGGACUUAAAAGUAAAUUAGAUUAUAUAAAUAAUUUGAAUAAGGCUCUGAAAUGUGC